CGGAGCUCACCCCCUGCCCAGCUGCUUGCUGGGGGGGCAUGGGGGGGCAGAGGGGGGCUGGCCAGCCGUGGUGUCCGGUCCUGCAGACCCGGCCCGCUUUGCAGCCUGCCUUGGGGCUGGGUGCCGUCCCCCUGCUCCGCGGAGGCCCUUCCCUUGUGCCCACCCCGGCAGCUGCCGGCGCGGCGGUGGCCGAGCGCGGGGGCUCCGGAGAGGCCGGUGCUGCCGGGGACGCGGCUGCCGGCCGGCUCCAGGACGUGAGUCAGCAAAGGAGCGUGGAGGCCGGGCUGCAGCGGGGAGGGGCAGGGAGCUCCGGUCCCUGCUGCCGGGGCCGUGGGCAGGCUGGGGCAGGGGCAGCCCCCCCGGGCUCCCGGAGCUCCCCCGCUCGCCUGCAGGGCCGGGCCCCAGCCGGGGGCCUCGAUGCCUAGGUCGCUUCCGGGGGAAAAGCAGCAGGAGCCGGUGCAGAGCUAUUCCCUGGCCCAGGUGUUGCAGACGGCACCCCCCUGAGCGAGCUCUCCUGGUCCUCCUCGCUGGCUGUGGUGGCCGUUUCCUUCUCCGGGCUCUUCACCUUCAUCUUCCUCAUGCUGGCGUGUCUGUGCUGCAAGAAGGGCGACGUCGGCUUCAAGGAGUUCGAGAACGCGGAGGGGGACGACUAUGGCGCGCAGUUCUCGGCCCCGGGCUCGCCGGCGGCGCACAGCGGCCCCGAGGUGUACAUCCUGCCGCUCACCGAGGUCUCGCUGCCCAUGUCCAAGCAGCCGGGGCGCUCAGUGCAGCUGCUCAAGUCCGCGGACCUGGGGAGGCACAGCUUGCUCUACCUGAAGGAGAUCGGGCACGGCUGGUUC
This 839-nucleotide long non-coding RNA is filed under the name Crocodylus porosus (Australian saltwater crocodile). RNAcentral describes it as "lncRNA (ENSCPRG00005018326.1)". The record is from RNAcentral. Lineage: Eukaryota; Metazoa; Chordata; Crocodylia; Crocodylidae.